Molecule: non-coding RNA, 883 nt
Organism: Musa acuminata subsp. malaccensis (wild Malaysian banana)
Lineage: Eukaryota; Viridiplantae; Streptophyta; Magnoliopsida; Zingiberales; Musaceae
Source: RefSeq, a predicted model, not a curated record
CGCAUCCGCCGGUCGCGCCUUCGUCCAUGGGCGUCGGGGAGCCUCUUGCGAUCUGUCGAGUCUCUGCCAUCGCAACGAGGGCGUCGACCUCCUCCGGGACGAGCGCGUCGCCAUCGGCCUCUCGCUCCUUGUAGAUCAAUCGUCCAGCACCUUCUUCGUCGCCGUUUCCAAGAUCUCGGGGGUGGACGCUCGCUGCCGAAGCUCGCGGAAGAUAGGCUGGAUGCAACUCUGAUAUAGCAUCCGAAUCAGGAAAGGAAGGCCUUUUGUGUAGCUGGAUAAUCCUGAAGUUGAGGAUCUGGUUGACUUACUAACUUGUUUCCAGCACCAAUUUGCUAUCUUAUAUAGUCAGAGUAUGCUUCCUACCGAUUACUAAAGAGAAAUGAGAGCUUGUUACUUGACCAAUGUUAGUUUUACACCAUCAUGUGGGUGGAGAUUAUACAUGGUCAUCCUUGCCAGGUCAAAUGGCAGAGAGCCACCUUUAGUACUAUCCUUCAUACUCUCUCCAUUGAGGGAACUGAAGUCAGCCAGGCUGAAUUAUCAGGAUCUGAUGAGUCAACCGAUCCAUCAGAUGAGCCAGAUGUUCCUUCUGCUGGAUGAUGAAUGCUGGUUUCUGUUGACUGACAGAAGCAUUGAUCCUGUAUACGUUCUCAAAGAGGUCAAUGGCUUAUUGGAAGAAAAGGUAUGCACUAUAUUUUCCUUUUCAUAAUGAUUUUUUUAAUGUUGUAACAUUAUUCCAGUAAUAUGACAUUCAUGGUGCAACACAUUUGCUUUCUGUCUUCUUUGGCAAUCAAGGGGCACUUUGCUCAUAGACAUUGAUGUGUUGCUUGUGAGCUGAUCACUUCUAACUUGAUAAUCUAAAGCAAACAUAAAUCAACUGGGCACU